Molecule: long non-coding RNA, 972 nt
Filed under: Monodelphis domestica (gray short-tailed opossum)
Lineage: Eukaryota; Metazoa; Chordata; Mammalia; Didelphimorphia; Didelphidae
Description: lncRNA (ENSMODG00000043936.1)
Source: RNAcentral
UGACCUGGCAAGAUAUAAAUUCAUUCUGGGCCACUGGCAAGAUUUUGACCAACAUCAAUCACUAAACUGUUCUCUACUCUUCAGUCCCUUGACUCUUUCAAUAUCCUCUCUUAUCAGUGAGCCAAGGUGGUAGAGUUGCAGCAAACAAUACAGUGAAGAGCUCCCUGCCAAAUUUCUCCAAACACAUGCAAAAAAUGCACCAGCCCAAAGCUUGUUGGGACAAUCCAGAAAAAGAUACAGUAAUAUUUGCAUAAGGAUAUGGACUGGACAUGAGAUUUCUCCCAGAUGAAGAAAUCCCUCCAGCAAUGCAGUUUGUUUAUGGCUGAUUAGUUUCAUGGCCCACAGCAUACUGCCUCAAAUUUGUGGAUUUGAAUCCUAUGUGGAAUCUUACAUGAAACAGGAAUGUCCUCUGCAAGUUCAGCAAGCAAAUUGCACAAUUAAAAAGAUGUCAUCCAAGGAUGUGGCGUCUCUGCUAAUGGACUGAUUCAUUGCUGGCUGAGUCAACCAAAUCACUCAUCACCUAACUUGGUACUGCUGUUACCAGCUUUCAGUGCUGAAGAGAGAGAGCUUCCAUGGCUCUUCCAAGCCUCUUUUGAGAGCUCACAAGAUUGUCAUCUAGUCUGUUCCAUCUCAGGGAUUUAAGCAUGUUCAUGCUUAAAGCCUUAAACCAAAGGUUAAAGGUGGAAAGGAAGAACAAGAUAGAAAAACUGUCGUGCCAAAGGGAUCAACAAUUAGUGGACUAGGUUGCUCAUAUUGGUGAUCAAUUAAGAUGUGGGGUAGGCCAAGAAUACAAGGAAAUCAGGAAAUCAGAAACUCAUUAGAAGCAGAAAACUGGAACAAAGUGUCUGACUGAUUGUGUGUAUUUGUGUGUAUUUAUGGAAGACCUCAGAAUAUUAGACCAAAUGUUAUAAAAUUAAGGGAAUUAAAUAUCACUCUUCCUCACAGGAAGCCUCCCUAGUCUUAGAGCUGCAG